RNAcentral lists this transfer RNA (81 nucleotides) under Smittium mucronatum. It matches the Rfam family "tRNA". From Rfam's summary of the family: Transfer RNA (tRNA) molecules are approximately 80 nucleotides in length. Their secondary structure includes four short double-helical elements and three loops (D, anti-codon, and T loops). Further hydrogen bonds mediate the characteristic L-shaped molecular structure. tRNAs have two regions of fundamental functional importance: the anti-codon, which is responsible for specific mRNA codon recognition, and the 3' end, to which the tRNAs corresponding amino acid is attached (by aminoacyl-tRNA synthetases). tRNAs cope with the degeneracy of the genetic code in two manners: having more than one tRNA (with a specific anti-codon) for a particular amino acid; and 'wobble' base-pairing, i.e. permitting non-standard base-pairing at the 3rd anti-codon position. The record is from Rfam by way of RNAcentral. Lineage: Eukaryota; Fungi; Kickxellomycota; Harpellomycetes; Harpellales; Legeriomycetaceae.
CCGAAUAUAGCUCAGCGGUAGAGCGGGAGACUGUAGUAAGCUGUUAUCUCUAGGUCCCUGGUUCAAAUCCGGGUGUUCGGA